Molecule: long non-coding RNA, 2509 nt
Filed under: Gossypium barbadense (sea-island cotton)
Lineage: Eukaryota; Viridiplantae; Streptophyta; Magnoliopsida; Malvales; Malvaceae
Description: long non-coding RNA (GBAR_LNC010401)
Source: RNAcentral
UAAAAGCCAAAAUUUGUCCAUCUUCUACCCUAUGGCCAUGUGAACGAAGGAGAACACCAUGGCUAGGGUUUUCAAGCUUCCAAGCUCACUAGUAAGAGUUUCCAAGCCCUGUUUUCAAUGUUCUUUGCAUUUUUGAAGUCCCGGUGACAUGAUCAACUCAUUUCUACCCAUAUUUUUAGCUAGGGUUCAUGUUUAAAAAUUUAUCCAUGCAUGACAUGUUAGUAUUUUGAAGAUUAAUGGAAGAAUAUGAAAGAUUGAAGUAUGUUUAACAACUUUUACUAGGUGAUUUUUCAUGAAAACACCUAAAAAGGACAAAAAUGUAAAAGUUGUAAAAUAGGUAGUAAAUGUGUGAAAUGAAAGAGAAAUGUGGGCUGCUAUAAGAGUAAUAAAGGUUCAGCUAGGUUUAAAGUACAAGAAAAAUGAACACAUUUCAUUUUACGAGCCUAGGGGCUAAAUUACAAAUAUGUGAAAGUUUAGGGGUAAAAAUACAAAUUUGUAAAAGUAUGAUUUUUGGGUCCAUUUGAAUAAUGUGAGUAAUAAAUAAGCUAUAUUUGAAAUGUUAGAUCAAGAAAACUGAGAUUCGGGCUUAAAUCGGGAAAGUACGAGAUUAUGGACUGAAAUGGAAUAAUUAGCUGUGCUCGGAUUCGAGGUAAGUUCGUACGUCAAUAAUAAUGCUAUAUUAUACUUGAAUGUUAGUGCUUGAUAUUACAUGAAUAGUAAGUGCAUGUGUAAAUAAUGUGACAAUGUGGUAUGUUAUGUUGUGUUAACAUUAUGUGAUAAUUAUUUUAUUGCUUAUUAUGUAUGUUAUGUCUAAUGGUACUAUUGUAAGCAUGAAUGAUAUUAUGGUCGCUAUCCAUGACGUCACGAGCAAACAGAGGUGCAAUGUGCAAGUGAGAAAAACCCAUUUGAACCUUAGGAAUAGUCUAGGAUACAAGUGACAUGUCACUAGGAAUUAAGAAGCCUGAACUCGUUGAGUGGUCUGGGUUCGUGAUAUAUGUGGCAUCCGAGCUCGUUGAGUGGUCCGAGUUCAUAAUGGAUGCGAUACAUGUGAUUGAGUUCCGGACAAUGGUCUUGUGUGUCCUAUCGGUGGCUAGGUAAUCCUUGAGUGGUCGGAUACCUGAUAGCUUUUGUGAGCAGCCCGUGUAGUUACACCUUGAUCGAUAGCUUAUAUGAGCAAGCUCGUGAGUAGCUCUAUUGCGAGCGUUACAUGUUAUGAGGUAGCUUUGGCUACGUAUGUAUAUGUGGCACUUAUGUGCAAGUUUUUCGCGUAUCCAAUAGUAUUCCGAGUGUUCAACUAUUAAUGUAAUGCAAUGGGUGUGACGAAAGUCUCGAGGAGGGCAUAUAAAGAGGUAUGAUCAUAUGAUAUACUACGAGUGGUACAAGUAUGUUCACUAAACUCACGAGUAAUGCCUUGAUAUAUGACAUUUCAUGAUAAAGAGGUAAGUGGGUGAUAAGUAAGUCAAAGGUUUUGAAUGAUGAAUAAACUUAUGUUUAUGUUUAUGAUUAUGUUUAUUAUGUCAUCAUAUGAUAGUUAUCAUGAUAUUGCACUAAAAUAGUCAUGGACAACAGCAAUUGUGUGACUUUGAAAAUCCACUAAAAAUUAUGGAAAUUGAACUAGAAACUGAAUAAGAUAUGAGAUUAAAUCUUAUUGAGCCUAGUUUCACAUAGAGGAAACGGUGUAAACAAAAGAAUUUCAUAUUAUGAGAUAUUUGAAUUUUUAUGAGAUAGGGUCAGACUGAUUUCGUGCUCCCCUGUUUUAAAUUUGGAAAAUCACUAAAAAUUGUACAAGAAUAAUUAUGGGUUAGAAUUUAUAAGACUAAAUUUUUAAUGAGUAUAUUUUCAAGAGAAAUAGAUGGAAACAUUAGUUGGAUCCCGUACUAAGAGAUAAGUAAAUUUUAGUAAAGAAAGGUCAAAGUUGUCAAAUAACAGAACAGAGGUAACUUUGAAGAAUAAACUGUAUUUAGUGGCUGGACCAAAAAUUCUAUAAAUUUUAUGGUAAGAAGAUAUGUGAGUCUAAUUUCAUGGAAAAUUAGCGGAUUUUAAUUUAGAGUUCCUUAGCUCAAGUUAUAAAUAAUUUGGUGACUAUGACUCGAGUAGAUAGCUUGACUGGAAUGUGAGCAAUUAGUGGAAUUAUGUGUAAUUUAAAUUGUGUUACCACGAGAACAUGUAAUAAUUUGGAAAAAGCACGUUAAUAAGUUACUUAUUAUUAUUUUCAUACUGGCUUACUAAGCUAUAAAGCUUACCCCUCUCCUUUCCAUUUCUCUUAGUGUUGACAGGUUAGCUCGAGGUUGGAGAUCGUCGGAGGCAGCAUCACACUAUCAAGUUAUCAAGCCGGGGUAUUAACAAAUCUUAAGUGUUUUCAAGUGAGUGGCAUGUAUAGAGACUUAUUACUUUACGAUAUGUGUUUCAUGAUUUGGCCAAUUGAGUUGGCUUAUAAUGUUUCAUUUGUAUAGAGCAUGAGAUAUGACUUAUAUUUGAUCAUUGGGUUUUAAACCUAAUUGAUUUUGCU